RNAcentral lists this ribosomal RNA (239 nucleotides) under uncultured bacterium. RNAcentral describes it as "partial 16S ribosomal RNA". It matches the Rfam family "Bacterial small subunit ribosomal RNA", at positions 95 to 334 of the family's 1533-position model. The record is from RNAcentral.
CCGGCGCACGGUGAGUAACGCGUAUGCAACUUACCUAUCAGAGGGGGAUAACCCGGCGAAAGUCGGACUAAUACCGCAUGAAGCAGGGAUCCCGCAUGGGAAUAUUUGCUAAAGAUUCAUCGCUGAUAGAUAGGCAUGCGUUCCAUUAGGCAGUUGGCGGGGUAACGGCCCACCAAACCGACGAUGGAUAGGGGUUCUGAGAGGAAGGUCCCCCACAUUGGAACUGAGACACGGUCCAA